CUGACAUAUGAUGAGAGAACGGAUCGACUGGGAUUAUAUUCACUGGAAUUUAGAAGGAUGAGAGGGUAUAUUAUAGAAGCAUAUAAAAUUCUUAAGGAAUUGGACAAGCUAG
Molecule: long non-coding RNA, 112 nt
Organism: Amblyraja radiata (thorny skate)
Lineage: Eukaryota; Metazoa; Chordata; Chondrichthyes; Rajiformes; Rajidae
Exons: 3
Source: RefSeq, a predicted model, not a curated record